UACGUAGGGGGCUAGCGUUAUCCGGAAUUACUGGGCGUAAAGGGUGCGUAGGUGGUUUCUUAAGUCAGAGGUGAAAGGCUACGGCUCAACCGUAGUAAGCCUUUGAAACUGGGGAACUUGAGUGCAGAAGAGGAGAGUGGAAUUCCUAGUGUAGCGGUGAAAUGCGUAGAUAUUAGGAGGAACACCAGUUGCGAAGGCGGCUUACUGGACGGCAACUGACGCUGAGGCUCGAAAGCGUGGGGAGCAAACAGG
RNAcentral lists this ribosomal RNA (252 nucleotides) under uncultured bacterium. Its description in RNAcentral is "partial 16S ribosomal RNA". It matches the Rfam family "Bacterial small subunit ribosomal RNA", at positions 524 to 776 of the family's 1533-position model. The record is from RNAcentral.